RNAcentral lists this ribosomal RNA (551 nucleotides) under uncultured bacterium. RNAcentral describes it as "bacterial SSU rRNA". It matches the Rfam family "Bacterial small subunit ribosomal RNA", at positions 791 to 1345 of the family's 1533-position model. The record is from RNAcentral.
UAGUCCACGCUGUAAACGAUGAAUACUAGGUGUGGGAGGACUGACCCCUUCCGUGCCGCAGUUAACACAAUAAGUAUUCCACCUGGGGAGUACGACCGCAAGGUUGAAACUCAAAGGAAUUGACGGGGGCCCGCACAAGCAGUGGAUUAUGUGGUUUAAUUCGACGCAACGCGAAGAACCUUACCAGGAUUUGACAUCCAACUAACGAAGUAGAGAUACAUUAGGUGCCCUUCGGGGAAAGUUGAGACAGGUGGUGCAUGGUUGUCGUCAGCUCGUGUCGUGAGAUGUUGGGUUAAGUCCCGCAACGAGCGCAACCCCUAUCGUUAGUUGCUACGCAAGAGCACUCUAGCGAGACUGCCGUUGACAAAACGGAGGAAGGCGGGGACGACGUCAAAUCAUCAUGCCCUUUAUGUCCUGGGCUACACACGUAAUACAAUGGCGAUCAACAGAGGGAAGCAAGACCGCGAGGUGGAGCAAAUCCCUAAACAUCGUCUCAGUUCGGAUCGCAGGCUGCAACUCGCCUGCGUGAAGCUGGAAUUGCUAGUAAUCGC